AGUUUCUGCUGGUUUUUGAGGUGUUCUUGGCAUAAGUAUUUCAUUGAAGUCAUUGAUUGGCUAAGUAAUCCACACACCUUGUUCUCAAGGUGUUAAUUGGCAGUUGAUUGAAAGGAAAUCACAAAAACCAGCCGACACUGCGGCCCCCUUGGGAUUCAUUUUGACACGCCAUGAGCUAGAGAUCUUGUUGAGCUGCUAAUUAGUAGAAUCAGGUGUACCAAAUUAGGGUUGAAAUGAAAACCUACAGGAUAGUAAGUCUCCAGGAGCAGCCAUGGGCAAAGGAGUUUGUAAAGACAACACUACCACAAAAGGCAACAGUAAUGGGAAACUGAGGAAGCUAAAAGGUCAGCAGUCAGGGGCAUCAGUCACUGCUUACCGCAUUGUCCCCCAUUACCAGAGCCUGAUGCCCGCCCUGCACAUAGCUGUACCUUAAGACAGGGCAUAUACCCAGAAUCCCGUGGGGAGGGGGCUGUUUGGGGCGACGUGCUGGACUGAGGGAGAUAGGAUUGUGUUGCGCUUUUUCGGGUGCGGGCGGGCGGGCAUGCAGCUCCCGCCUGCUGCGUCUCACCCGCUCCAGUCACUCAUUAGCGCCGAGGAUGGAGUGCCCCCGAUGAGAAUGCGACACUAAUCAAUCUCCUCUUUCAAACGUGCUGGUACCCUUUCUGAGGACCAGAGAGCUGUACCUGAAGGGCCAGCAGCUCCUGAACAGCACACCAAAGGGCCUGAGAGAGAGAGAGAGAGAGAGAGAGAGAGAGAGAGAGAGAGAGAGAAAUGGAGAUAUGUGGGGCUUGAAAGCUGGGAGAAGUCUUUUGGCACUGGAGCACUGAGAGGAAAUUUUGGGGAUUCAGAGGCUGCGCCCCUCCCUGGAUGUCCCUCUAUUCCCUUCCCACAGCCUAGCCAUGUCUGCAUGCGAGCAGAUACCCUUAAAGUGACAGGGCCAGCUAUUCUGGGCAUCCCCUGCAGGCGUAGACUGCUGGCUGUAUUUCUGCGGAUGCGCCAUGUUUGGGUUGAAAAAGGACUGGGCCUUCACUGGGGGAGCACUGAGGACAACAAACACUCGAUGACAACUAACCCCCCAUUGCUCCCCUGUGCCUCCACCCCCUAUUAUCAAAAAACCCAGUUUCCUCACAUCCCAUUUACACCACAAUUAUGUAUUUGCCAAGAAUAAUCAAAAUGAGCCAAAAUGAAAAAAAUAACAAAAAUGUUAAAAUGCAGGGAUGUCCCCCUGAGGCACCUGGUUUCACUUCUGAAAAUUAGCAAAGGAAAUGAAAUAAUGAAAUUCAUACAUUUAAAAUGAGGGAGGACAGCGGGAUGGAGAAGUGCCAACCUGUCAUAACCAGGAGCUGUCAGGAGCCGUGGAUCUGUUCUUGCUCUACCACUGCACGAUUCAGAAAUUUUCCAUAUAAAUAAUGGGAAAAGGGGAAUGUAUAUGAACUCUGAAAAGCUCCCAGAGCUACAUGCUGUAGAUUUGAUACAUUUAUUUGUGUCUCGCAGAGCGUGCAUUAUUUAAUGUAGUCAUGCCUGAUUUUUUUUCUGAAGAAGUAAAGGUUUGAGGGCGCAAAAACUAGCUCACACGCAUGCACACUCAUACGCACACACAGAAGGAUGGUGGCUCGGCUAGUGUUGUGGCAAAUGCACAGGUUUUGUGUUUACGGGUGUUUGAAAGAGACAAGUAGCCAUGAGUUUCAGCAGAACAGAGUCUAAUUCCCCGCCAGCUCAACACAGCACAGGAGACCAAAAGGGACAGACUGAAAGGAGAAUAAGCUUAGGCAGAAGUAGGACAGGAUGGCAACAGGAGAUAUGGUUGUGACAGUGUGUAUUUACAGCACCGUACUGUAUGUAAAAAGCAUUUGAUUGGGAAGGGACUUUAUGCUUUGAUCCAUAAAGAUUUUCAGGUUUAGAUCUCCUCUGGAUUUACUAGAAGUUUCAUUAUCAGAAUUUAUGCUCCAAAGGGAGUAGUAUGAAUAGUUUUUAAAUCUUUACAAUGAUUUUACUCUGAGGACUUCAUAUCCGAACCCAUAUCUGAGGAUUCUGCAACCUAAAUCUUUUUUUUUUUAAUGGAUAAAAAUAGCCUAUAUCUACAGAACGUGCACUAUAUGACACUAAAAGGAUCUGGACACCCCUUGGUCUGGGGGUGUUUUUCAUGGUUUGGGCUAGGCCCCUUAGUUCUGGUGGAGGCUAAACUUAAUGCUACAUCAUACAAUCACACCUAGACAGUUCUGUGCUUCCCCAAUGGUUUGGGGUAGACCCUUUCCUGUUUCAGCAUGACAGUGCCCCUGUACACACAGCAAGGUCCAUAUAGCAAUUGUCUUUUCGAGAACGGUGUGGAAGAACUUGACUGACCUGCACCAAACCCAAACCUCAACCCCAUCCAACACCUUUGGGAUCAAUUUGAAAGCCAACUACAAGCCAGGCCUAAUUUCCCUAUCAGUACCUGAUCUCACUAAUGCUCUUUUGGCUGAAUGUGCAAUAUAUAUAUACUUGUGGCUAGUAUAAAGCCUUGGCAAAAGAGUAGGGAUUUUU
This is a long non-coding RNA of Anguilla rostrata (American eel), 2523 nucleotides long. RefSeq lists it as uncharacterized. The transcript is spliced from 2 exons. NCBI's taxonomy places the organism in Eukaryota, Metazoa, Chordata, Actinopteri, Anguilliformes, Anguillidae. The record is from RefSeq and is a predicted model, not a curated record.